AACGCUAGCUACAGGCUUAACACAUGCAAGUCGAGGGGUAGCAGGAUCUAGCAAUAGAUUGCUGACGACCGGCGCACGGGUGAGUAACACGUAUCCAACCUACCUUUUACUCGGAGAUAGCCUUUCGAAAGAAAGAUUAAUAUCCGAUAGUAUAAUUUGCCCGCAUGGACAGAUUAUUAAAGAAUUUCGGUAAAAGAUGGGGAUGCGUUCCAUUAGAUUGUUGGUGAGGUAACGGCUCACCAAGUCAUCGUUGGAUAGGGGUUCUGAGAGGAAGGUCCCCCACAUUGGAACUGAGACACGGUCCAAACUCCUACGGGAGGCAGCAGUGAGGAAUAUUGGUCAAUGGGCGCGAGCCUGAACCAGCCAAGUAGCGUGAAGGAUGAAGGCCCUAUGGGUCGUAAACUUCUUUUAUAGGGGAAUAAAGUGCGGGACGUGUCCCGUUUUGUAUGUACCCUACGAAUAAGGAUCGGCUAACUCCGUGCCAGCAGCCGCGGUAAUACGGAGGAUCCAAGCGUUAUCCGGAUUUAUUGGGUUUAAAGGGAGCGUAGGUGGAUCGACAAGUCAGUUGUGAAAGUUUGCGGCUCAACCGUAAAAUUGCAGUUGAUACUAUCGAUCUUGAGUACAGUAGAGGUGGGCGGAAUUCGUGGUGUAGCGGUGAAAUGCUUAGAUAUCACGAAGAACUCCGAUUG
This 689-nucleotide ribosomal RNA is filed under the name uncultured bacterium. Its description in RNAcentral is "bacterial SSU rRNA". It matches the Rfam family "Bacterial small subunit ribosomal RNA", at positions 32 to 715 of the family's 1533-position model. The record is from RNAcentral.